GACAGCUGGAGAAUGAACGGAGA
RNAcentral lists this non-coding RNA (23 nucleotides) under Cricetulus griseus (Chinese hamster). The record is from RNAcentral. Lineage: Eukaryota; Metazoa; Chordata; Mammalia; Rodentia; Cricetidae.